GAUGAACGCUGGCGGCGUGCCUAAUACAUGCAAGUCGAGCGAACAGAUGAGGAGCUUGCUCCUCUGACGUUAGCGGCGGACGGGUGAGUAACACGUGGAUAACCUACCUAUAAGACUGGGAUAACUUCGGGAAACCGGAGCUAAUACCGGAUAAUAUACUGAACCGCAUGGUUCAAUAGUGAAAGACGGUUUUGCUGUCACUUAUAGAUGGAUCCGCGCCGCAUUAGCUAGUUGGUAAGGUAACGGCUUACCAAGGCAACGAUGCGUAGCCGACCUGAGAGGGUGAUCGGCCACACUGGAACUGAGACACGGUCCAGACUCCUACGGGAGGCAGCAGUAGGGAAUCUUCCGCAAUGGGCGAAAGCCUGACGGAGCAACGCCGCGUGAGUGAUGAAGGUCUUCGGAUCGUAAAACUCUGUUAUUAGGGAAGAACAAAUGUGUAAGUAACUAUGCACGUCUUGACGGUACCUAAUCAGAAAGCCACGGCUAACUACGUG
This 497-nucleotide ribosomal RNA is filed under the name uncultured bacterium. RNAcentral's name for it is "partial 16S ribosomal RNA". It matches the Rfam family "Bacterial small subunit ribosomal RNA", at positions 28 to 507 of the family's 1533-position model. The record is from RNAcentral.